GGGAACGCGCGUGGCUCAGGUGGAGCGCCUUCUCUGGCGGCGGUGGCAAGGUCGAUCCAAAUUGACGGCGAAGCUUCAGGCGAAAAGCGGUACAGAACCAAUCGUCGCCGACACCAGCAAGGAGGCUUAGGACCAUGGAGGAAAGAAAAAUGUAGGAGGGAGCAUUACGCCACACAGCCAGCCUUCGCAAGCGAACGCUCCGUGAAGCCACAGUGAUGACCCAACAGGAACCGGUGCACCUCUGCACAGAAGCCACGACUCUCCAGCAGCACAAUCCUUCGGAAUAAGAUUCCUCACUUGCAUCGGCUCCUCAAGUUCAAGACUUCAAAAGUGCUGUUAUUCAUUACAUUCAAACGCAGACACCUAUUCAAUACU
Long non-coding RNA from Dermacentor albipictus, 375 nucleotides. RefSeq lists it as uncharacterized. Lineage: Eukaryota; Metazoa; Arthropoda; Arachnida; Ixodida; Ixodidae. The record is from RefSeq and is a predicted model, not a curated record.